RNAcentral lists this transfer RNA (70 nucleotides) under Ictidomys tridecemlineatus (thirteen-lined ground squirrel). RNAcentral's name for it is "Spermophilus tridecemlineatus (thirteen-lined ground squirrel) tRNA". It matches the Rfam family "tRNA". From Rfam's summary of the family: Transfer RNA (tRNA) molecules are approximately 80 nucleotides in length. Their secondary structure includes four short double-helical elements and three loops (D, anti-codon, and T loops). Further hydrogen bonds mediate the characteristic L-shaped molecular structure. tRNAs have two regions of fundamental functional importance: the anti-codon, which is responsible for specific mRNA codon recognition, and the 3' end, to which the tRNAs corresponding amino acid is attached (by aminoacyl-tRNA synthetases). tRNAs cope with the degeneracy of the genetic code in two manners: having more than one tRNA (with a specific anti-codon) for a particular amino acid; and 'wobble' base-pairing, i.e. permitting non-standard base-pairing at the 3rd anti-codon position. Lineage: Eukaryota; Metazoa; Chordata; Mammalia; Rodentia; Sciuridae. The record is from Rfam by way of RNAcentral.
AGGGAUGUGGCUCAGAGUGGCAGAGCACAUGCCUAGCAUGCAUGAGGCCCUGGUUCAAUCCCCAGCACUG